Molecule: ribosomal RNA, 467 nt
Filed under: uncultured bacterium
Lineage: Bacteria
Description: bacterial SSU rRNA
Rfam family: Bacterial small subunit ribosomal RNA
Source: RNAcentral
AGUGAACGCUGGCGGCGUGCUUAACACAUGCAAGUCGAACGAGAACGGGUUAUAGCUUGCUAUAAUUGUCAGCUAAGUGGCGCACGGGUGAGUAAUGUAUAGGUAAUAUGCCUCUUACUAAGGGAUAACAAAUGGAAACGUUUGCUAAUACCUUAUACUCCUUAUUAACAGAAGUAAAUAAGGGAAAGAUUUAUUGGUAAGAGAUUAGCCUGUAUUGUAUCAGUUAGUUGGUGGGGUAAUGGCUUACCAAGACUAUGACACAUAACUGGUUUGAGAGGAUGAUCAGUCACACUGGAACUGAGACACGGUCCAGACUCCUACGGGAGGCAGCAGUGGGAAUAUUGCACAAUGGACGAAAGUCUGAUGCAGCAACACCGCGUGGAGGAUGACACAUUUCGGUGCGUAAACUCCUUUUAUAUGAGAAGAUAAUGACGGUAUUAUAUGAAUAAGCACCGGCUAACUCCGUG